UACGUAGGGGGCAAGCGUUGUCCGGAAUCAUUGGGCGUAAAGAGCGUGUAGGCGGCUUGGCAAGUCUGACGUGAAAGCCCGCGGCUCAACCGCGGAUUGUCGUUGGAAACUGCCUCGCUAGAGUCCGGAAGAGGAGAGCGGAAUUCCUGGUGUAGCGGUGGAAUGCGCAGAUAUCAGGAAGAACACCCGUGGCGAAGGCGGCUCUCUGGGACGGUACUGACGCUGAGACGCGAAAGCGUGGGGAGCGAACAGG
Molecule: ribosomal RNA, 253 nt
Filed under: uncultured bacterium
Lineage: Bacteria
Description: partial 16S ribosomal RNA
Rfam family: Bacterial small subunit ribosomal RNA
Source: RNAcentral